Long non-coding RNA from Eriocheir sinensis (Chinese mitten crab), 1790 nucleotides. RefSeq lists it as uncharacterized. The record is from RefSeq and is a predicted model, not a curated record. NCBI's taxonomy places the organism in Eukaryota, Metazoa, Arthropoda, Malacostraca, Decapoda, Varunidae. The transcript is spliced from 3 exons.
UUACUUGUUUUUUAACUGAAGGGCAACGCGGUAUCUACAGACUCUUCUGUGCUCGAUGCUCUGAUUAAUGGGUCUGAGCCAUGGGACACUACGGUGGAUUUCUGGACGUCUUGGAAUGGGAAGGAAAGUCGCCAAUGGGACUACAAUCGAUUAAGGCCCAGAUGGCCGUUGCUACCUGGGCUCCUUUGUGUGCGUGCCACUAUGAGAGGUGGCGGUGCCGGUACUGGCAGUGUCGCAGGCUCUACCGUGAUAUUCAACGAACCCGUGGAGAGAGAACUCCGGGAAUGGCUGCGAACAUAAGAAAUGCCAAAAGGACGUGAUGGAAGUAGUCUGGCAAACGAUGGGACCCACGAGGCACACACUCCAAGCAGACCUUCCAGAUCCGCCCCUGUCCAAGGAAGUCUACAGGGUGCCGCUCCUUCCCGCCUUUACAGUCUAUCGUUAAGAUAAGCCAACUUCCUCCACUACUAAACUCCCUUGGCCAGACAAGCGCCGCAAAAAACACCACAUCCGUGCCACGACUGCACCGUUCCUGCCCUCGGCCGGCCCAGGGAUGAAGCGGGGUUGUCGUGAAGAUCUCAGGCCAGACCCGAACCUCGUUUUGACACCAGCUCGGCUGCUCGGGGCACGUGUGCAUUGCCCCGAGUUGGCGACAUUAUGGUAUUUUAUUGAUGGGGUAUUAAUGUGACUUUGCUCCCAUGUUGAGGUGGAAAGUAACUUGCCGUCUACUUUUAUAGUUUUUUCUUAAUGAAAUUUGCUCAAUUGACUGUGAUGAUCUGAUACUUCAUAUAUAUCCGGGCUUAGUUUUACCUUAAGAUGUGUUAGCCUCUACCGUUUAGACUUGUGUGACGGCAGAAGGUUUUAAAUCGACUAGAAUUUAGCUUGUAAAAAGUUUCUAGUAUAAUCAUUGCACUAAACUAUUUUACAUCGUUUCCAUUGUAACCUAGUGUCCUGGGGUAACGAGUUAUCUUACCCACGAAAAAAAACUUCAGGGCUAAUGUGCAGGAGAGGAGCUAAAGAGACUACAUACAAUCUUUAUCACUAUCUAAAGGAACGAAGAUUCCAACAAUACUGUUACUAAAAUACAACCAAACCCAUUUAUGUCUGGUUUCCUUGACUGCCCAACGAGCCCCUUGUCUGCCUGAGUGUUAAGUUCCCUAAGUUUGAUGUUAACACUAGUUAACUUUUUGAAGUACGCUUUAUCCGUUGAUUUUCAUAUACUAAAGUCUGCGUAUACUCUUAGUUUAAAUCUAAUUUGACUACUAAUCAUCCUGUUAAGUAAUACUAAACUUAGAUCGGCAGCAUCAACUAUACUUGCUUGGAGUUGGUGUAUUGACCAAUUAGUGGCAGUCGAUCUGAUCUCCGCGGUGUUAAAUAAAAAUUAAAAGCGACCAAAACUACUUACUAUACGUACGGCUGCAGCAUUUAAGCGUCUAGUUAAAGGUUUUACUGAAUAAAUGGGAGCUGUAGCUAAAAAAAAAAAAGUCCCUGAACGCAGCAUGGAAGGAUCAUGCCUUCGCUCCCGAACAUCAUCUCAUUCAACAUUGCAUGGAAUCCACUUAACAAUACUAAGUCAUUUAACCGUAUGCGGCAAAAGUUUUAAAUAAAUUCUAGGAUACAUUGUAGACAGGUGGGGCCAUAUCAAUGGACUCUCAAGAUCACCCAUAGGAGGUCGCUGCUCGUAUAAGUACUCCCGAUAUUAUUCACAUGGCAAUUGUUAUGCACAAGGUAUAAGUACUCCCGAUAUUAUUCACAUGGCAAUCGUUAUGCACAAGCAAAUAACUCAAAGU